AUUGGACGCUGGCGGCAGGCCUAACACAUGCAAGUCGGACGGUAGCACAGAGAGCUUGCUCUCGGGUGACGAGUGGCGGACGGGUGAGUAAUGUCUGGGGAUCUGCCCGAUAGAGGGGGAUAACCACUGGAAACGGUGGCUAAUACCGCAUAACGUCGCAAGACCAAAGAGGGGGACCUUCGGGCCUCUCACUAUCGGAUGAACCCAGAUGGGAUUAGCUAGUAGGCGGGGUAACGGCCCACCUAGGCGACGAUCCCUAGCUGGUCUGAGAGGAUGACCAGCCACACUGGAACUGAGACACGGUCCAGACUCCUACGGGAGGCAGCAGUGGGGAAUAUUGCACAAUGGGCGCAAGCCUGAUGCAGCCAUGCCGCGUGUAUGAAGAAGGCCUUCGGGUUGUAAAGUACUUUCAGCGGGGAGGAAGGCGAAGUGGUUAAUAACCGCGUCGAUUGACGUUACCCGCAGAGGAAGCACCGGCUAACUCCGUGCCAGCCGCCGCGGUAA
Molecule: ribosomal RNA, 504 nt
Filed under: uncultured bacterium
Lineage: Bacteria
Description: partial 16S ribosomal RNA
Rfam family: Bacterial small subunit ribosomal RNA
Source: RNAcentral